GUAGGGUGCAAGCGUUAAUCGGAAUUACUGGGCGUAAAGCGUGCGCAGGCGGUGAUGUAAGACAGGUGUGAAAUCCCCGGGCUUAACCUGGGAACUGCAUUUGUGACUGCAUCGCUGGAGUGCGGCAGAGGGGGAUGGAAUUCCGCGUGUAGCAGUGAAAUGCGUAGAUAUGCGGAGGAACACCGAUGGCGAAGGCAAUCCCCUGGGCCUGCACUGACGCUCAUGCACGAAAGCGUGGGGAGCAAACAGGAUUAGAUACCCUGGUAGUCCACGCCCUAAACGAUGUCAACUGGUUGUUGGGUCUUCACUGACUCAGUAACGAAGCUAACGCGUGAGUUGACCGCCUGGGGAGUACGGCCGCAAGGUUG
This 368-nucleotide ribosomal RNA is filed under the name uncultured organism. Its description in RNAcentral is "bacterial SSU rRNA". It matches the Rfam family "Bacterial small subunit ribosomal RNA", at positions 527 to 896 of the family's 1533-position model. The record is from RNAcentral.